UUUGGUGGUAUCUAUGCCGAAAUAUAUGGCAGCUGGAAGAAAUGGGGGUUAUCGUGAUAACGAAGUGAGGGAUCGUGAAUCGGAUCUUGAUGUGUCGAGGAGGGAUAUUGGGUAUUCUAAGGGGGAGAAUGAUAGAAUGAAGAAUGGGUAUAGGGAUUAUGAAAAAAUUCAAGGUCGGGGUGGGGGUAGUAGGGAUAGGGGGACGGUGAGACAGAAGGAUGUUAAAGAGAGGGAAUCGAGUAAUGGGGGUUUGUAUCGGUCUGUUUCGAGGAGUGGGUCGGGGAGUAGUGGCAGUAGUGGAGGUGGUAGGUUGAGGGGAUUGUUGGUUGGUUCGGUUGAUCGUGAGCCAGGGGAGCUAUCAAGUGAGAGUGGAUCCGAGGAAGCUACAGAUUCGUCUCGGGCUGAUAAUAAUAGAAGUGACUUGAAGCAGGAGAGUGGGAUGAGUUUACCAGCUCAAAGUAAGAAGAGAAAGUUCUCGCCGAUUGUGUGGGACAGAGAUGAAGUGAGUAUUGUGUCUCAACAAAGUGUUGCAUUGACACCUAGUGUUCUCCCUCCCCCACCUCCACCGCCCAAGUCUUAUAGAGAGUCUCCUAACACUAUUGUUGCUGGUGCAGUUGAAAUUUGUCCGAUUGAGUAUACUAAGCUUCAACCCUCAGAGUCGGAGCUGCCGGUUGAGCCUGUUGUAGAAAUCGUGUCACAUGUUUCUGUUGUAGCAGAGUCUCUUGGUGUUUUAUCUUCUGCUCCUCAGGAACAGCACACAGAAUACAAUGAGGAUUAUGCACCAACCUUGAAUAUUAGAUCCUCUAGAUGGGCAAAUGAUGCCAAUUCCCCAGCGGAUGAAGGGGAAAUUUCUGACUCUCCUGAUGUUAGAAUGCUGAAAAAGAUGAAGAAAAUGCCCUUGGCUGCUCAACAGGAGAUGAAAGUGCGGAAUAAAUUGAUUAGUCCGGAGUUAGUGGAGCUCAAGAGAGAAGGUUCUGAAGGUCAGAGGGCUAGAUCAUCUGAAUCUGAUGAAGGUGCUCGCUGUAGGUCUUCGAGCGGAGAUUUUUAUGCAGACAAGGACCAGGACAAUGCUGAUUAUAUGGAGAUGGAUAUAGAACAUAAUAAUGGUAGUAAAAUUGGCCGUAAAGAUACAGAUUCAGAGGAUGAAUGUUAUUCUCGUGAUACGCCCGAACCUGCUGCUCCCCCGCAGAGGAGUGUGAACAUGCUUCAGGGUUGUAGAAGUGUGGACGAGUUUGAGAGGCUUAACAAAAUAGAUGAAGGUACGUAUGGGGUAGUAUAUAGAGCAAAAGAUAAGAAAACUGGAGAAGUUGUUGCAUUAAAGAAAGUCAAGAUGGAAAAAGAGAGGGAAGGUUUUCCAUUGACUUCUCUACGAGAGAUAAAUAUCCUCCUUUCCUUUGAUCAUCCUUCAAUUGUUGAUGUGAAAGAAGUAGUUGUGGGGAGCAGUCUUGACAGCAUCUUCAUGGUAAUGGAAUACAUGGAGCAUGAUCUGAAGGCACUGAUGGAGACGAAGAAACAGCCAUUUAGUCAGAGUGAGGUCAAGUGCCUCAUGCUCCAGUUACUCGAAGGUGUGAAGUAUCUUCAUGAUAAUUGGGUUCUCCAUAGAGAUUUAAAGACCUCAAAUUUGCUUUUAAAUAACCGUGGUGAGUUGAAGAUAUGCGAUUUUGGGUUGGCUCGUCAAUAUGGAAGCCCCUUAAAACCAUACACUCAUUUGGUUGUAACUUUGUGGUACAGGUAAAUUAUAAAUCCAGAAUCAAUUGCUUUCUCCUGAGCUGAUUUUGCUAUCAUGUAUUAGUUUUAAAUUUCUUCACGGUGUUGGAUGUUAUUAUGUCUUGUUCUGUCCUUAACCUUUCUAAAGUGCGUUGUAGAUCCAUAAUUAUGUGAUCUUUCGUUUUCAAUUUUAACCGUCCAUUCUUUAAUAUUCAGCUUUGUUAUUGGCACAUUGUUGUUGCUUUUACUCUGUUUAUUAUUUUUGCAGGUUCCUUUAUUUGUUUCUAAUUUGGAUUUAGUGUGUGUACUACUUGUAUAUCAUUUUAUCUUGGGUAUAUAUGUUUCUUUUUGUAACAUGCUUGUAUUUUUAUAAUCUUAUAAUAGGUAUUAAAAUAAAAUUUUGGUACAGGGCACCUGAACUUUUAUUGGGAACGAAACAGUAUUCAACUGCAAUUGACAUGUGGUCCCUGGGUUGCAUUAUGGCUGAGCUCCUGUCCAAGGAACCACUAUUUAACGGGAAGACAGAAUUUGAUCAGAUAGACAAGGUAUUUUCUAUUUCAGUGAUCUCUUGGUAAGGAAGUUUGAUAAUUAUGAAAUUCUUGUUAUUGCAUUUCUUUAUGUGUUCCUUAGCUACAUCAACUUGAUUUGUGCAGAUAUUUAAAAUGCUCGGCGUACCAAAUGAGACUAUAUGGCCUGGUUUCUCUAAACUCCCUGGAGUGAAGGUGAAAAACGUCAAGCAGCCGUAAGUGUUUAUUUGCCUGAAUAACAGUACUUGUCUAAGUCUUAGUUCACCCUAUCUUAUUCUCGCCACUUGUUUUCCCAGGCUUCCAGCUUUGGGUGGUAUUCUGGUCUGGUUUACUGGCCUCGAUUGGUGAAAGUUUCAAUUAGAAGACAAGUAUAUCAUUUGUCUAUUAACUAGAGGUGUAUAUGUUUCAGGUACAAUCUGCUGCGUAAGAAGUUCCCAGCUACAUCUUUCACAGGAUCUCCAGUUCUCUCAGAUGCUGGAUUUGACUUGCUGAACAAGCUUUUAACUUAUGAUCCGGAGAAGGUAUGUAUAUGUUACACAUUCCUGUUCAAGAUUAUUAUUGAUACGUUAUAUUCUAGCUACUUAUCCUUGAUUGUAUGCGCAGAGAAUAACAGCUGAUGCUGCUCUUAACCAUGAGUGGUUCCGUGAAGUUCCUCUUCCUAAAUCCAAAGAUUUUAUGCCUACAUUUCCUGCUCAGCAUGCGCAGGACAGGUACGUUCUAGGCAACUUAGCUUGGUUGAUGCAGAUCCAUAAUUCUGAUCACUUGUUCGUAGUAUUGGUGAUGUAAUCGAGGUGAUGAUGUUUUUCCAGACGUACUCGAAGAUUAUUGAAGAGUCCAGAUCCUCUUGAAGAGCAGCGGCGGAAAGAGUUAAAGCAAAGGGAACUGGGGACAGGCGGUCUGUUUGGAUGAGCAAAUUUAGUAUAUGUGGAGUGCUUAAAAGCUCUGAUCUUAAAUGUAUAAUAUCCACUGAUGUACGCGCUGAAGGUGGCACAAAAUUAUUUUUGUGAUCAGCGGUGCUGUUUUUUAGCAGGCACCCCCUUGAUUUGGGCGGAAAGAUGUUCUUCAAAAUCAGAGAGUAGCAGCUUGGCUGUCCAUUGAUAUAUCAUUAGGUUCUGUGACACUGCUAGCAUAGCAAUGUCGAUAAUGGUCUCUAUCAGUUUAAUGUUAGAAUAGUCUCUCUUGGAACAGUAUGUAAUAUAUUUUACUGAAUUUGUAAGCAAUUCUCUUGUACAAUUGGUUUUGGUCACUGAAAAACAAGGUCUUUAUUCCCUAAGUGUCAUUUUCAAUGUUUAAUAAUUGGAUUAUUUUUUUAUUUGCGCGAGUCGGUUAGUAUAGAGCAGAACUGCUUGUACCUUGCUAGAUUUAUGUUUUGUUGGGGGUGAAUGGAUUUGGAUUUAUGUUUUGGUGGGGUGAAUGAAUUUGGAUUAUGUUGUGUUUAGUCGGGGGAAUGAAUUUGAAUGAAAUUUAUAUUAUGAUGUGAGUAAUUUUAUAUAAAUUUCAUUCUUUCUUUAAUUUCUUACAUUCUCUAUUAGAUAUCAUAUCUUCAUUUUGGGAAGAGAUACUUAAUUAUCUUUUAUACUAAAUUUAUUUUCAAGGUAUCUUGCACUUAUUCACUUAUUCUUUUAUUCUUUUAUAUCCAUUAUGUUAGUUUAUCUUUUAUCAUUCCAUUCUUCCCGGUUUUUCUAUUUUCCUGAGCAAAUCCAACUUUUAAGUUGAGUCAAGUUCUUUUAUAAAGAAUGAGACCUCAUUUCAAAUUCUUUUGUCACACGGCUCUUAAAUAAUCAGCACAAAGUAGAAUUCUCCUAUUCCUUCCAAAUUAUUAAUUUUAGCACAUUGCAAAAAACACGAGUUUUUACCAUCUAGAUAAUUAUGCAGCAAUUAAGUAAACUAGUUACUUACCUGGUUUGCACACGUACUGAAUGCUGCACUUGAAGUAUCUCGACGAGGAUUGUUGGAUCAACUCAGCUAAGAAAUUUUUCAGAACUAAUUUUGUGGAGGAGAAGAUAAUAAGAGAAGCAUUUAACACAAAAACUGAUAACAUAACUUCGGGGCUGCCUACCAUAACAAGAGAACUCUGGAGCUAAUUAACAAAAACUCGAAUUUGUCUGGUACUUAUUAGCAGUGGCGGAACCAGGAGACAAACUCAUCCGGGGCUCAAAAAAUAUUCGAGACUCAAAUAUUUAACAACAUUUGAUUGAGGAAAAAUAUCAGUUAAUACAAAGAUUUUUGAAAUUUACUCGGGGUUGAAAUUUUUCUUUUAUAUCAUUUUUAGAGAACAUCAGGGCUAAAAAAAAUUAAAUUUCUACUGGUUUUUUUUUCCUUGAUGGGGCUCCAGCCCCUCUUCGCCCCAUCGCCCCUUUCUACUGUUUGAAAUUCCCUCUUUGCACAGCUAAUUUUUUUUUACCCUUUUAAACAGUGUUCUGAAAAUCCUCGAUUUAACCGAUUAAUCCCCUGCAAGAUCGGUCACCGAUCCGAUUUUUGAAAUCCGAUUAAUCCUUAUAUAUAUUUCUUAAUUGAAGUAUAUAUGAUAAAUCAUUAGAAUUAAAAUACUAAAGUUUAUGAAUAUAGUAAAUAUAUUAGUUACUAAAUAGCUAAUAUAAUAAUAAUUAAAUAUUAAAUAAUAUUUUAAUAUUAAAAUAAAUCCGAUUUUCACACCGAUUAAUCUUUCCGAUUAAUCCCCGAUUUCCGAUUAAUCCCUAAAUCGGUAGCUCAACCGAUUAUGUCCGAUUCCCGAUUUCUGUACUGCUUUUAGGCCGAUAGUGGCGGUGCAAGACGCAUUAUAAAACCGAUAAACACACGGCUCCACAUGUGAUAUUUUAUCAUCCGAAUAAAAAUAAUACAAUAUUCGAUCGAAAAUAUAAAUACCUUUUAUCAAAUAUCAAAUCAGUCUCUUUGAGGUCUCGAUUACGCCCCUCUCUCUCUCUCGCAGCGAUUCCCGUCUCUCUUGAAGCGACGUCGCAGCCGUUUUGUAUUGUUGUUGCAAUUCAAUUGAACACGAGGAGUCACUCAACGGGUACUAGUCGAUUCAGUUAGGGUUUUAUUGUUGCAAUUGUGUUGUUUUUAUCCCCAAUUUGAUUUGUAGUGAUAAAGAUUGCUUUUUCUGUUUGAUGAUGCUUUGUGUUGGUUGUUUUUGAUUGAGUUGUGGUGUGUACGGGUCUUGAAUUGAUUAAAGUUUUGAUUUUUAGCGGUUUUGAUUAGUAUAUUUGGAAAGGGAUAAUAAUUGUUGAAUUGGAGAUUUAGGGUUAGGGUUUUUGUGAUUUUGUGUUUGGGUUUUUGAAGUUUUUUGUUGUCUUAUUUAUGCCGAAACAUAUGUCAGCUGGAAGAAACGGGGGUUAUCGUGAUAAGGAACUGAGGGAUCGUGAAUCAGAUCUCGAUGUGUCGAGUAGGGAUAUUGGGUAUUCUAAGGGGGAGAGUGAUAGAAUGAAGAAUGGUUAUAGGGAUUAUGAAAAAAUUCAAGGUCGGGGUGGGGGCAGAAGGGAUAGGGGGAGGGUGAGACAGAAGGAUGUUAAAGAGAGGGAAUUCGGUAAUGGGGGUUUGUAUCGGUCUGUUUCGAGGAGUGGGUCUGGGAGUAGUGGCAGUAGUGGAGGUGGUAGGUUGAGGGGAUUGUUGGUUGGUUCGGUUGAUCGUGAGCCUGGGGAGCUAUCAAGUGAGAGUGGAUCGGAGGAAGCUACUGAUUCGUCUCGGGCUGAUAAUAUUGAAAGUGUCAUGAAGCAGGAGAAUGGGACGAGUUUACCAGCUCAAUAUAAGAAGAGAAAGUACUCGCCGAUUGUUUGGGACAGCGAUGAAGUGAGUAUUGUAUCUAAACAAAGUGUUGCAUUGACACCUAGUGUUCUCCCUCCACCUCCACCGCCCAAGUCUUAUAGAGAGUCGCCUAACACUAUUGUUGCUGGUGCAGUUGAAAUUUCUCCAAUUGAGGAUACUAAGCUUCAACCCUCAGAGUUGGAGCUGCCGGUUGAGCCUGUUGUGGAAAUCGAGUCGCAGGUUUCUGUU
This 6224-nucleotide long non-coding RNA is filed under the name Daucus carota (carrot). RNAcentral describes it as "long non-coding RNA (DCAR_LNC005944)". Lineage: Eukaryota; Viridiplantae; Streptophyta; Magnoliopsida; Apiales; Apiaceae. The record is from RNAcentral.